AUUAAAUGCAGUUAUCGUUUAUUUGAUAAUACCUUACUACUUGGAUAACCGUGGUAAUUCUAGAGCUAAUACAUGCUUCAAAUCCCGACUCACGAAGGGGUGUAUUUAUUAGAUUAAAAACCAAUGCCCUUCGGGGCUCAGUGGUGAUUCAUAAUAACUUCUCGAAUCGCAUGCCCUUGCGGCGGCGAUGGUUCAUUCAAAUUUCUGCCCUAUCAACUUUCGAUGGCAAGGUCUUGGCUUGCCAUGGUUACAACGGGUAACGGAGGGUUAGGGCUCGACCCCGGAGAAGGAGCCUGAGAAACGGCUACUACAUCCAAGGAAGGCAGCAGGCGCGCAAAUUACCCAAUCCCGAUUCGGGGAGGUAGUGACAAUAAAUACUGAUACAGGGCUCUUUUGGGUCUUGUAAUCGGAAUGAGUACAAUUUAAAUCCCUUAACGAGGAACAAUUGGAGGGCAAGUCUGGUGCCAGCAGCCGCGGUAAUUCCAGCUCCAAUAGCGUAUAUUAAAGUUGUUGCAGUUAAAAAGCUCGUAGUUGAACCUUGGGCCUGGCUGGCCGGUCCGCCUCACCGCGUGCACUGGUUCGGCCGGGCCUUUCCCUCUGGGGAACCCCAUGUCCUUCACUGGGCGUGGCGGGGAACCAGGACUUUUACUGUGAAAAAAUUAGAGUGUUCAAAGCAGGCCUAUGCUCGAAUAGUACAGCAUGGAAUAAUAGAAUAGGACGCGCGGUUCUAUUUUGUUGGUUUCUAGGACCGCCGUAAUGAUUAAUAGGGACAGUCGGGGGCAUCAGUAUUCAAUUGUCAGAGGUGAAAUUCUUGGAUUUAUUGAAGACUAACUACUGCGAAAGCAUUUGCCAAGGAUGUUUUCAUUAAUCAGGAACGAAAGUUAGGGGAUCGAAGACGAUCAGAUACCGUCGUAGUCUUAACCAUAAACUAUGCCGACUAGGGAUCGGACGAUGUUAUUUUUUGACUCUGUUCGGC
RNAcentral lists this ribosomal RNA (976 nucleotides) under Longiappendispora chromolaenae. RNAcentral's name for it is "SSU rRNA". It matches the Rfam family "Eukaryotic small subunit ribosomal RNA", at positions 100 to 1084 of the family's 1831-position model. Lineage: Eukaryota; Fungi; Ascomycota; Sordariomycetes; Xylariales; Cainiaceae. The record is from RNAcentral.